AGAGUUUGAUCAUGGCUCAGAACGAACGCUGGCGGCGCGCCUAAUACAUGCAAGUCGAACGAGAAUGUGUAGCAAUACACAUGUACAGUGGCGAACGGGUGAGGACUACAUGGGUAACCUACCCUCGAGUGGGGAAUAACUAGCCGAAAGGUUAGCUAAUACCGCGUACGCUUCCAAGACUGCGGUUUUGGAAGGAAAGCGAUACCGUGGGUAUCGCGCUCUUGGAUGGGCUCAUGCCCUAUCAGCUUGUUGGUGAGGUAACGGCUCACCAAGGCUUCGACGGGUAGCUGAUCUGAGAGGAUGAUCAGCCACACUGGCACUGCGACACGGGCCAGACUCCUACGGGAGGCAGCAGUAAGGAAUAUUGCGCAAUGGGCGAAAGCCUGACGCAGCGACGCCGCGUGGGGGAUGAAGGUCUUCGGAUUGUAAACCCCUUUCGGGAGGGAAGAUGGGAUGGGGUAACCCAUUCGGACGGUACCUCCAGAAGCAGCCACGGCUAACUUCGUGCCAGCAGCCGCGGUAAUACGAAGGUGGCAAGCGUUGUUCGGAUUUACUGGGCGUACAGGGAGCGUAGGCGGUUGGAUAAGCCCUCCGUGAAAUCUCCAGGCUUAACCUGGAAAGUGCAGAGGGGACUGUUCAGCUAGAGGAUGGGAGAGGAGCGCGGAAUUCCCGGUGUAGCGGUGAAAUGCGUAGAGAUCGG
Molecule: ribosomal RNA, 700 nt
Filed under: uncultured bacterium
Lineage: Bacteria
Description: bacterial SSU rRNA
Rfam family: Bacterial small subunit ribosomal RNA
Source: RNAcentral